CGAAUUGUUUCAACAAGAUAUGAAUAUAUGUGUGUACCAGUGGUGGAGCGUCAAUCAAAAGAGAACCAAUAUUUGUAUUAUGGGAUGUCACACGAUCGACAGGCAAGACAUGGCCAAAAGAAGAAGAACAGUGUGUCGGUUUUUUGGUAAAUUUGUCGAGAAGAUCCAAAUCAAUCAGUGUUUGAAUAUUCCUGUGGUGAAUAGAAUAUGCCACACACACAAAUCCAAUCAAUUUUUAAAUCAUCCAUCAUGGGCAACGAUUUGAAAAAUAUUUGCUUCGUAUGAGUGAAUUUAGAACCGUUCGUUUGGAAAUGUCAUCUUCGUAUUUUAAUUAACAUUUUUAUUGUGUUAUUAAUUACAGUCCAAGCCAUUCAGUAUUAGCAUUUUCCUGGCAACAGAUUUAGGAAUAUUUAUUUUAUUUAAAUUAAUUUUUUUAUACUCAAAAACAUAUCCUAAGUACAUUGCUUACCGUCUGUGAAGUUAGCUGUUCUAAUUGCCAUCACUUUUUUGAGGGACACAUUUUGCAAAAAAAAAAAAUAGAAUACAAUCCAGCUCGAUGGUGCUAAAUGUAAAUCGACGAAUUAAAGAUGAAAUCAUGAUUUUUACCAGGGCGAUCGUGUCUUCUUGGCAGUGUGUAGUAUUCAUUGAAAUGUUUCUAGUUUCUUUGAAGCCAUAGGAAAAGGGAUUUAAUUUUAUUUUACGUCAAAAAAGGAAUACAAAUUCAUUUUCAAACAAAAACAAGUAAAAAAGCUGUAAAUUCGGCUUGGCCGAACUUUGAAUACCCUCCACCAUUUGGAACGAAUUUGGCUAUUAUCCAAAACAAUAAAAUCCGUUAAAAAUUCUUUUAAAAUUCUGGAAAUAUCGAAUGUAGGGUCUAUACGACGACGUGGACCUGCAUAGGCGUGGACCAAUACCGAAUAUCGGGAGGUAUUUAUAUGGGGGCUAUACCAAAACGUGGACUUACAUGGCCCAUUUUCAAUACCAUAAGUCCUGCAGACAUAAUAUAAAUUUGAGUAAAAUUUUAUUAAUUUACUUCAUUUCGUUCGGAAGCUAGAGUGAUUUCCACAGACGGACGGACAACGCUAAAUCGACAUAGAAUUUAAUGCUGAUCAAGAAUAUAUAUACUUUGUGGGGUCUAAAAUGUAUAUUUCGAGGUAUUACAAACGGAAUGACAAACUUAAUAUUCCCUCCCUCCAUACUAUGGUGGAGGGUAUAAGAAAGAAAAGAAAUCGGCCGAUAGUGCUCCUCAGCCAUAGGAUUUUAGAGGAUGCGUAGUUACCGAAGACCCUUCGGCCCAUUAUGAUCAUCCUGUGUGAAAAGAAAGCAGGAAUGAAAGAAAGAAAGUUAUACCUAACACAUACCUAUCCAAAUAAAUAGUCACCGGUUCAGUUAUUUCAUCCUUCCUCUUGUCUGAGAAAUACGACAAUUUCCAUUCAACCUGUAGGAGUAGGUCAUUUUAGUUGCUCCCGCGCCUUCUUUGCCGUCAGACUGAUUAGAGGUAGUUUGGCUUCCAUUCAUCAUUGUCUGGAAUCGGUAUCUCAUUACUUGGAGGCCUUUUGGUCCAAUGCGUUCAUCCUAGGAAGAGAAAUUUCAGAUAGGAAAAAAUAGAAGACACAGCCGUUGGAAAUAAUGAUUAGUUGAGGUUGUUUGCGUCAGCAGAUAUAUUUAUUUUCAGGUUCUGCUGCAAUGUCCGGUUUUAGGAAGUCAGUUACUCUUAUAGACUAUAGCCAAAGAUCCUCUGGAGUGAGUAGCGAAGAUGUGGCAGGGAAAUUAAAAGUAUGCAGCGUAUUGUGCGGGCCUGUAUCACAUCUUCAUCAAUUCCGAACGCCCGCUCGCCCAUUUCGAAUUGAGACGGCUACACCAUUCAUUCCGGGGGGAAUUACUCACACGAUAACACUCAAGCAGUCACUGCAACGAAAGCAUAUGAUUAUGCUGACGUAUGGAAAGAACCUUCGUCUUCUCAUGUAAACGGUCCACUGGAGUCAUAAUGUGGCACUCUUUAAAGUUCUCAGGGCCGCAUUCUGAUUUAGCAGGAUGGUUUGACAUGCCAGAAGAUGCUUGUACAAAAUCUAUAGAUAAUGAUGGAAUCUACAGGUUGAGAUAAAAACUGCAACAAAGUCAUUUGUGGCCAUUGUGUGUUGGAAAUGAAGCGAGGGACCUCAUUUUGUAACCAUUCUUGGGUGGCGCGUGUUGAGUCCUGUUGUAAUGUCCAAGGUCUGCGGCCAAAAUGUCUGCGUGCCCUCCAGAAUAUUUUCGCGAUAAUAUUCGGUAUUUAUUCUGAUGCCACGGUCGAUUAAUACGAGCGGAAAGCGAUCAUCGGCUGUUAUGGCGGCCCACACCAUCACCAUGGCCGGCGCUUGAGUUUUGGUGGCCAACCGAAGGUGCACAUUUUCAGCUGACCUCUUUGGCAAGUAAACACGAUCAUUUUGUUUGUUUACAAACGGUUGGACCAGGAAUGUUUCUCAUCGGAGAUAACCAAAUUCAGCAGUUCACCACUUCUGGCCAAGCGUAGCAACUCUUUAACUCUUUUGAGUCUAUUUUCUUUCUGUUGCGGUGUGAGUUCUUGCACUUUUUGGAAUUUCAAUGGCUUUACCCCGAGCUAAUUUUUCAAUAUUUGCCGAAUGGAAUAUUGCGAUAUGUUCAGCUCACGAGCCAUUUUUCGGCUACUGCGACUCGAGUUUCGAUCAAGUCACUUUUUUACUUUUCGAACCAUUUCUGCUGAUGUUGCUGUUUUCUUCCUUCCACUUCCUUGACGACGGGCUACGCUACCAGUAUCACGAUAACGAGCGAUGGUAUGAGACACAAACGAUUUAUUCACAUUUAAAUGCUGGAGUGUUCUAACGAUAGCCACACACUUGAAUUCCAUCACGAAUAACUUUUUUUCUGGAAAAUUCUCACCACGCUUGUAAAAAAUAUAAUGUGCUGUCACUGGAAUAAUUUUAGCAGCUGUCAGACGAGUGGCUUAGAAAUGACAGCAAUCUGAAAUUGGUAGCAGUUUUUUCAUCUCAUCCUGCACAUAUAUAGUUUCUCUUCCUGUUAUGCAAAUGUCUUGAACAUCUUUUGAAGUAGUAUUCAUGAAAGUUUUUGAAAUUAAUCUAUAGCUUAGAGUGUUUUUGUUUAUUUCUUUAGCCAAACAAUAUACGCGAACAUAAAUUGGCAAAAUGAAAAGUAAAAAUAAAAAAAUAAAAGAAUAAUCAAUAUCACUUCAUUUCCUUCAUUAUUUUUAUAUGAUAUUCUCGCAAAGGCAAAAUUAAUUUCUGAUCAUUUUUCAUUUCAAUUUAAUUCAAUUUUACAAUAAUAUCAUCAUCCGGUCUCUUCAAAAACAGCUCUUCAGGCAUCCAAAAAGCAUUUUUUGUCUCAUUUAAAAAGGGGUUUGGGUCUUUUAUUUAAUUGUAAUGUUGCGUUCAUAAAUUUAAAAAAAAAAUCCCCAAAAACAUUUUGUGAUCCCGUAAUAUUUUUACACAACAUUAGUUCUGGCCUCUAUUUACUACGAUAUUGAAAAUCAUACUUCUUUUACAUACUAUUUAGAAAUUAUUGAAAAAAAAAACCCAUUCAUUCCAUUUUCGAUUUCUCAGAUCCCCUUAAGAUUGUUUAUUUCCCCCAAAUGAUAUCAGAAUUAUUUCAUUCAUUAUACAGGAAUGUGGGAAAUAUUAUCACAUACAACAAUACCAAGUCCUACAUAGGGUCGGCCAGUAAACACAUCUGACUACCAAGUUAGCUGUCUAAAUACGUAAUUGUGUUUUGAAAAGAAAACCAAUCUCAGUGAUUUGCUGCGUUUACUUUUUUUCUCCGACCUUAUGUAGACCUUCACCAAUUCAAUACAACUCUUUUUUUUAUUUAACACACCAAAUUUUUGUAAUAACACCUCUUUCUUCCCCACAACAUAAUUUAGAACACCUUUAGAUCUCUAUUCGAAUACAUUCGUUUUCGUAGAACAUUCGUCUUGAGGGUUUUUUUAUACAAUGUUUUUUUUUUUUCGAACUAGUUGCAGCUAAACCUACCUUUAAAAUAAAACUUCGCAAUGGGUAUGGAUAAGGUAAAGACUCCGAAAAGAUUGCCUUAUGAAAUCGUUCGUUAAAAACAGUUUUUUUUUUGUAAAUUUCCAAUAAAACAAAACAUCGACUGAAGGAUAAAUUUUUAAAAUAACAAGUAUUCAAUUCCAAUGUUUUUAAAAAAAAGUGAAGAGUUCGUUCCGCGUGAAUCGAUCACAACCUGGACUUGACGAAUAUAAUGGCCUACCAAAAAAAAAAAAAAAAAUACAAAUAGGUCGUUGUGUUGUUGUUGAUUACAAGCGUCGACGUAAAAACGGAUGAUAGUUUUGUUCGCAUGAUUUGGUAUAUCCUACAUUGAACUGCCCUCACCAAACUCUAGGAAAAAAAGGUGGGGUGCACGUGUGUUGAGCAUAUUUAAAGGCAAAUCUUGGCAAAGAAAAAUCAAAAAUGAAAAAUGAAAAAAUUAAUGUUGUUUGUUUGCGUAUUAGUUAUUUGCCCAUAAUUAUUUUUGAGCAAGACAUGACAAAAUCAUAGCAUUUAGCAGCCAGCCAUAUUUGGUUGAUGAAUGUUGUUGUUAUUGCAUCGUUUGUCUCUUUUUGUAUAAUUCUCCGUAAAUAACGCAUUGCCGUAUCUUCUCGUGUGUCCCAAUUUACUUGACAAUUGGAACAUUUUCUAACUGAACGUCGUAUUUCAUAAAUAUAUUUACCAACCGAAGAAGUUUAUGUUUCUUCCAUUUGGUGUCUGCGUGUCAAUGAAAUGCCGCAGCCAAACGAAGAAAUAGGAAAACUUGCAAAUUAACAAAACCAAAGGAAACACACACACGCACACAGCGAGAGGCUUUGCGCUUGAGCAACAAGUUAUUUUAUGUACAGUGUUCAGAAAAAAAUGGGGAACUACCUUGCAGGAUUUUAUUAUUACAUGUCAAAGGGAAUCUUGAGUGAGAACUUCUUUUCAGAUUGUGUAUUGGGGUUUAUGGUAUGGAAAAUCGUAUUUAGUCUGAUAAUAGAAUACCCAUUCUGGUCUGGUCUUUAUAUAUACCCUGUUUUAGUAAAAGGGAAGGCAUCGAAUCUUCAUAGAAAAGGCCUGUCAAUUGUUGCAGAAGAAGAAGAAGUUUGCGAUCUUCAAUCAGAAAACCAUUUCGGACUUCAACCAGAAGAUCUUUUUGGCAAAUAUAAGUCUUAAGGUUCUAUUCCGGUACGCUUUAAAAAUGCUAUUCUGAAUCCAGUAAAAUAUUCCGUGUUUUCUUUCUUCUAAUAAUACAAUUUUUAAUCCCCCUUUGAGACCUCUCUUUUAACCUCUAUAAGUUCUUAUUUCGGAUGACCAUUUAUUUACAUAUAGCCCUUAAAAAGGACACGUUUUGUGGAACAUUGUCUUUAUUCCUUAUGGACUUUCAUAUGGAUAUCAUUUUCGUUUUUUAUAAGUAGGCUUUUUAUGCUCCUAGAAGAUAGCAUAUUUGGGGUAUUAAAGUACAUUUUCCUGUUUUUUUUUUUUUUUUUUUUUUUUUAUAGAAAGACCUUUUUCCUUUUUACGAAGUAGAUGACCGACCUUUCAGUAUUAUAUCUUAAACCUUAAACCUUUGGUCUGCAAAAAAAAAUAGUUUUUUCGGAAGAUCGUUCCUUUACUUUACUUGCCCUUAAAAGGACACGUUUUGCGGAAUAUUUUCUUUCUUCCUUACGGACUUUCAUAAGGAUGACAUUUUAGACAUGUAUAAGUAGACUUUUGAAUCUCCCAUGAGAAUACAUCUUGGGACUUUUUAAAGGACUUUUUCCCCAUUUUUUAUAUAAAAAUACACUUUUAUCUCUUUAUGAAGUAGAAGACCAGCUUGCCAGUCUUACAUUUCAAUCCCAGUCUGGCUUGCAUAGAAUGAGUUUUUUUUUUUUUUUUUGGAAAACCAUUCCUAUACUUUAAAAAGCCCACGAUUUGUGGAACAUUGUCUUUUUCUCGUCUUUUUUCUUCCGGACUUUCAUAAGGAUGCAAUUUUGGCCUUCUAUAAGUAGACUUUUGAUUUUCCCAUGAGGGUUUUUAAAGGACUUUUUCCCCAU
Musca domestica (house fly) is the source of this 6034-nucleotide long non-coding RNA. RefSeq lists it as uncharacterized. NCBI's taxonomy places the organism in Eukaryota, Metazoa, Arthropoda, Insecta, Diptera, Muscidae. The record is from RefSeq and is a predicted model, not a curated record. The transcript is spliced from 2 exons.